RNAcentral lists this ribosomal RNA (301 nucleotides) under uncultured bacterium. RNAcentral's name for it is "partial 16S ribosomal RNA". It matches the Rfam family "Bacterial small subunit ribosomal RNA", at positions 509 to 807 of the family's 1533-position model. The record is from RNAcentral.
CAGCAGCCACGGGAAUACGGAGGGGGCUAGCGUUGUUCGGAAUUACUGGGCGUAAAGGGCGCGUAGGCGGCGAUCAAAGUCAGGCGUGAAAUUCCUGGGCUCAACCUGGGGGCUGCGUUUGAUACUUGAUUGCUAGAGUGGGGAAGAGGGUCGUGGAAUUCCCAGUGUAGAGGUGAAAUUCGUAGAUAUUGGGAAGAACACCGGUGGCGAAGGCGGCGACCUGGUCCUUGACUGACGCUGAGGCGCGAAAGCGUGGGGAGCAAACAGGAUUAGAUACCCCUGUAGUCCCUGUCUCUUAUAC